UACGAAGGGGGCUAGCGUUGUUCGGAAUUACUGGGCGUAAAGCGCGUGUAGGCGGGUCUUUAAGUCAGGGGUGAAAUGCCAGGGCUCAACCUUGGAACUGCCUUUGAUACUGGAGAUCUUGAGUCCGGGAGAGGUGAGUGGAAUUGCGAGUGUAGAGGUGAAAUUCGUAGAUAUUCGCAAGAACACCAGUGGCGAAGGCGGCUCACUGGCCCGGAACUGACGCUGAGACGCGAAAGCGUGGGGAGCGAACAGG
RNAcentral lists this ribosomal RNA (253 nucleotides) under uncultured bacterium. Its description in RNAcentral is "partial 16S ribosomal RNA". It matches the Rfam family "Bacterial small subunit ribosomal RNA", at positions 524 to 776 of the family's 1533-position model. The record is from RNAcentral.